Molecule: ribosomal RNA, 759 nt
Filed under: Triticum aestivum (bread wheat)
Lineage: Eukaryota; Viridiplantae; Streptophyta; Magnoliopsida; Poales; Poaceae
Description: partial small subunit ribosomal RNA
Source: RNAcentral
AUGGAUGAACCCGAUCUGGAGGAAGGAAGCGAGGAGGACUGGGAUCGCCAUGGCCCAGACCCAACCCUAGAAGAUGCGUUCGAGGGCAUGAAUUUACAUUGGGAGGAGGAAGAAGAUUUGGAUUUAUCAGGGGAGGUGGAUGAUCUGAUUAGGGAGGUGCGUUGGUUGGCGCUGUUUAGGGUUCAUACUCUCAGGCCUUUUAGCCAUGCCGCUCUACUGAACUCCAUGAGGAACGCAUGGGCUUGUGCGCAAGGGGUGACCUUCAACAUCAAGGGGCCGAAUCUAUUCCUAGCACAAUUCCACUGUCUUGGCGACUGGAAGCGGGUGAUGAAAGGAGGCCCCUGGCAGUUUCGAAGAGAUCCGGUGGUUAUGGUGGAGUAUGAUGGAUUUACAAAUGUAGUUGAAUAUGCUCUUGAGAUGUAUCCUUUGUGGGCAAGAAUUAAGGGGUUGCCGGAUGGUUUAACAAGGAAGAAAGAGCUCGCUGAGAAAGUGGCUAAGAAAGUUGGAAGUCCACUGUUUACUGUAAUUGUGAAUGAGGGAAGAAUUAAUCCCUCAAGUCAUCUCCGGGUGCGUGUUUUUGUCAAUGUUAAUAUGCCGCUGGUGAGAUUUGUGCCCAUCACGCUCAAGGAGAGGAAGAAAUACCCGGUUAGCUACGAGAAGUUGCCGGACUUCUGUUUUUAUUGUGGUUGCAUGGGCCAUGUGGUGGAGGAGUGUGGUGACGGUAUUCAUGCUCCGACUAAUUGUGAAUGGGGUGAUUAG